Molecule: transfer RNA, 84 nt
Filed under: Candidatus Parvarchaeota archaeon
Lineage: Archaea; Nanobdellati; Candidatus Parvarchaeota
Description: tRNA-Ser
Rfam family: tRNA
About the family: Transfer RNA (tRNA) molecules are approximately 80 nucleotides in length. Their secondary structure includes four short double-helical elements and three loops (D, anti-codon, and T loops). Further hydrogen bonds mediate the characteristic L-shaped molecular structure. tRNAs have two regions of fundamental functional importance: the anti-codon, which is responsible for specific mRNA codon recognition, and the 3' end, to which the tRNAs corresponding amino acid is attached (by aminoacyl-tRNA synthetases). tRNAs cope with the degeneracy of the genetic code in two manners: having more than one tRNA (with a specific anti-codon) for a particular amino acid; and 'wobble' base-pairing, i.e. permitting non-standard base-pairing at the 3rd anti-codon position.
Source: RNAcentral
GCCCGAGUGGCCCAGUGGUUACGGCGCGGGUUUGGAGAACCCGUUUCCCUUGUGGAUUCCCAGGUUCGAAUCCUGGCUCGGGCG